This 397-nucleotide ribosomal RNA is filed under the name uncultured bacterium. Its description in RNAcentral is "bacterial SSU rRNA". It matches the Rfam family "Bacterial small subunit ribosomal RNA", at positions 29 to 457 of the family's 1533-position model. The record is from RNAcentral.
AACGAACGCUGGCGGCAUGCCUAACACAUGCAAGUCGAACGAAGUCUUCGGACUUAGUGGCGCACGGGUGCGUAACGCGUGGGAAUCUGCCCUUGGGUGCGGAAUAACUUCUCGAAAGGGAUGCUAAUACCGCAUAAUGUCGUAAGACCAAAGAUUUAUCGCCCAAGGAUGAGCCCGCGUAAGAUUAGCUAGUUGGUGGGGUAAAAAGCCUACCAAGGCGACGAUCUUUAGCUGGUCUGAGAGGAUGAUCAGCCACACUGGAACUGAGACACGGUCCAGACUCCUACGGGAGGCAGCAGUGGGGAAUAUUGGACAAUGGGGGAAACCCUGAUCCAGCAAUGCCGCGUGGGUGAUGAAGGCCUGGUGUAAGCCUUGUCGGGACGGAGUGAUGACGGUA